UACGGAGGGUGCAAGCGUUAUCCGGAUUCACUGGGUUUAAAGGGUGCGUAGGCGGGCAGGUAAGUCAGUGGUGAAAUCUCCGGGCUUAACCCGGAAACUGCCGUUGAUACUAUCUGUCUUGAAUAUCGUGGAGGUAAGCGGAAUAUGUCAUGUAGCGGUGAAAUGCUUAGAUAUGACAUAGAACACCAAUUGCGAAGGCAGCUUACUACACAGUAAUUGACACUGAGGCACGAAAGCGUGGGGAUCAAACAGG
RNAcentral lists this ribosomal RNA (253 nucleotides) under uncultured bacterium. Its description in RNAcentral is "partial 16S ribosomal RNA". It matches the Rfam family "Bacterial small subunit ribosomal RNA", at positions 524 to 776 of the family's 1533-position model. The record is from RNAcentral.